This 305-nucleotide ribosomal RNA is filed under the name uncultured bacterium. RNAcentral's name for it is "bacterial SSU rRNA". It matches the Rfam family "Bacterial small subunit ribosomal RNA", at positions 333 to 635 of the family's 1533-position model. The record is from RNAcentral.
UUGGUCCUACGGGAGGCAGCAGUGAGGAAUAUUGGUCAAUGGGCUUACGCCUGAACCAGCCAAGUCGCGUGAGGGAAGACUGCCCUAUGGGUUGUAACCCUCUUUUGUCAGGGAGCAACGCCGGCUACGUGUAGCCGGACUGAGAGUACCUGAAGAAAAAGCAUCGGCUAACUCCGUGCCAGCAGCCGCGGUAAUACGGAGGAUGCGAGCGUUAUUCGGACUUAUUGGGUUUAAAGUGUGCGUAGGCGGAAUGCCAAGUCAGCGGUAAAAUCGCGGGGCUCAACCUCGCUCCGCCGUUGAAACUG